ACUCCUACGGGAGGCAGCAGUGGGGAAUCUUAGACAAUGGGGGAAACCCUGAUCUAGCCAUGCCGCGUGAGUGACGAAGGCCCUAGGGUCGUAAAGCUCUUUCGCCGGGAAGAUAAUGACGGUACCCGGUAAAGAAGUCCCGGCUAACUCCGUGCCAGCAGCCGCGGUAAUACGGAGGGGACUAGCGUUGUUCGGAAUUACUGGGCGUAAAGCGCGCGUAGGCGGACUAUUAAGUCAGGGGUGAAAUCCCGGGGCUCAACCCCGAACUGCCCUUGAUACUGGUAGUCUUGAGUUCGAGAGAGGUGAGUGGAACUCCGAGUGUAGAGGUGAAAUUCGUAGAUAUUCGGAAGAACACCAGUGGCGAAGGCGGCUCACUGGCUCGAUACUGACGCUGAGGUGCGAAAGCGUGGGGAGCAAACAGGAUUAGAUA
RNAcentral lists this ribosomal RNA (430 nucleotides) under uncultured bacterium. RNAcentral describes it as "bacterial SSU rRNA". It matches the Rfam family "Bacterial small subunit ribosomal RNA", at positions 335 to 784 of the family's 1533-position model. The record is from RNAcentral.